CCUACGGGCGGCAGCAGUGAGGAAUAUUGGUCAAUGGGCGAAAGCCUGAACCAGCCAAGUAGCGUGCAGGAUGACGGCCCUACGGGUUGUAAACCUCUUUUAUCCGGGAAUAACGCGCCUUACGCGUAGGGCUUUGCAUGUACCGGACGAAUAAGGACCGGCUAAAUCCGUGCCAGCAGCCGCGGUAAUACGGAGGGUGCGGGCGUUAUCCGGAUUUAUUGGGUUUAAAGGGUGCGUAGGCCGGAAGUCAAGUGAGCUGUGAAAUGUCCGGGCUCAACCCGGUCCUUGCAGUGGAAACUGGGUUGCUUGAGUGCGCGAGAGGCAAGCGGAAUUCGUGGUGUAGCGGUGAAAUGCAUAGAUAUGACGAAGAACCCCGAUUGCGAAGGCAGCUUGCUGGAGCGGAACUGACGCUGAUGCACGAAAGCGCGGGUAUCGAACAGGAUUAGAUACCCCAGUAGUC
Molecule: ribosomal RNA, 460 nt
Filed under: uncultured bacterium
Lineage: Bacteria
Description: partial 16S ribosomal RNA
Rfam family: Bacterial small subunit ribosomal RNA
Source: RNAcentral